AUUGAACGCUGGCGGCAGGCCUAACACAUGCAAGUCGAACGAGUGGCGGACGGGUGAGUAAUGUCUGGGAAACUGCCUGAUGGAGGGGGAUAACUACUGGAAACGGUAGCUAAUACCGCAUACCAUCAGAUUUGCCCAGAUGGGAUUAGCUGGUUGGUGGGGUAACGGCUCACCAAGGCGACGACCCCUAGCUGGUCUGAGAGGAUGAACGGCCACACUGGAACUGAGACACGGCCCAGACCCCUAGGGGGGCAGUCGGGGGGAAAUAUGGCAAAUGGGCGGAAAGCCUGAGGCACCCAGGCCGGGGGAAUAAAGAGGGCCUUCGGGUUUAAAAGUACUUUCAGCGGGGAGACUUUACCCGCAGAAGAAGCACCGGCUAACUCCGUGCCAGCAGCCGCGGUAUAC
Molecule: ribosomal RNA, 405 nt
Filed under: uncultured bacterium
Lineage: Bacteria
Description: partial 16S ribosomal RNA
Rfam family: Bacterial small subunit ribosomal RNA
Source: RNAcentral